RNAcentral lists this ribosomal RNA (530 nucleotides) under uncultured archaeon. RNAcentral describes it as "bacterial SSU rRNA". It matches the Rfam family "Archaeal small subunit ribosomal RNA", at positions 325 to 856 of the family's 1478-position model. The record is from RNAcentral.
ACGGGGCGCAGCAGGCGCGAAAACUUCGCACUGUGCGAAAGCACGACGAGGGAAUCCCAAGUGCUAGCUCGUAAGAGUUAGCUGUUUUUCUGUCUAAAAAACAGAGAGAGUAAGGGCUGGGUAAGACGGGUGCCAGCCGCCGCGGUAAUACCUGCAGCCCAAGUGGUGGCCGCUAUUAUUGGGCCUAAAACGUCCGUAGCCGGUUCUAUAAAUGCCUGGGUAAAUCGUACGGCUUAACCGUACGAAUUCCGGGUAGACUGUUCAACUUGGGACCGGGAGAGGCUAGAGGUACUCCUGGGGUAGAGGUGAAAUUCUGUAAUCCUAGGGGGACCACCAGUGGCGAAGGCGUCUAGCUAGAACGGGUCUGACGGUGAGGGACGAAGCCCUGGGGCGCAAACGGGAUUAGAUACCCCGGUAGUCCAGGGUGUAAACGCUGCUCGCUUGAUGUUAGUCGGGCUCCGAGCCCGACUAGUGUCGGAGAGAAGUUGUUAAGCGAGCUGCCUGGGGAGUACGGUCGCAAGACUGAAACU